Long non-coding RNA from Thalassophryne amazonica, 1346 nucleotides. RefSeq lists it as uncharacterized. The record is from RefSeq and is a predicted model, not a curated record. Lineage: Eukaryota; Metazoa; Chordata; Actinopteri; Batrachoidiformes; Batrachoididae. The transcript has 2 exons.
UGACGUAAACCCCGCACCAUGUGACACCGUAAUGAAUAAUGCAGUACAGAAGGCGGGAGGGAGAUGUGAGUAAUACAAACGCACUUAAGGAUUGAGGACGGAGUGAAGGAGGCUCAUUUAUCCUCUGGCUUCGUUCAAGGAGCCAACAUGUGCUGGCUGCCCGUAGACGAGCCGUUACUCCUGGCCGGUGACUCCUCCUGCGUCCGGACUCCGUCGACGUGCUCCGUGGCUCAGCUGCUCGCCUCGCGGCUGAGGAGGGUCGGGGACCAGCUGGAGAAAAGGUGGACGGCGGAGCCGAGUUGUGAGGACACGGACAGUACCGAAGGGUCAGACCGCUGCUUCUCCAGCUUCCUGCGCGCCGCCUUGCAGCUGACCGUGCUCGUGCUGUUCGUCGCGGGGCCGCACCUGUAGGGGCGCGAGGCGGCAAGGCACCGGCAACAGAGACAGUGACUUUGAGAUCUUGCAUGAUGGGGGAACAAAAACAGGCUGAUAUUUGCACUGAAAACAAGGGAUGCAGGAGCGCCGCGUCCUCCAACAGUCCAGCUGACUGAGGAAGAAAAGGAGAAAAGAGGGCUAAAUACGCUUCAGGGUCAGAACUGUGUGUGUGUGUGUGAGACUUAUGAGGCUACACCAGACCUGCUGUGGAUUAUCCAAAAGGAUGGCAACGAGCUGACACACUGAACCCUGAGCAUCACAUGCAGCCAACCAGCUGCACAUCUUGCUUCUGUACGACUGUCUGCUUGUGUCAUCCAGCUACAAAACAGUGAUGUAAUCCUCCCCUGGUACAAAGGAGGGAAAAGCUUACUACAAGCACCGCUGUGAAUUUUCACCUCCCACACUAUAAACAGAUCUUUGGGGACAAAAGGCAGAAGCUGUUAGACUGAUUAGAUCUGAAAAUGCAUAAGCUACCAACUGUUCACAUAACAUUUUCAAAGUGCACUGAAAUAUGUUUGAGGGCUUCACAGGGACUACACCUUUACACACACACAUAUAGAGAGAGAGAGAGAGAGAGAGAGAGAGAGAUAAAUAAGCUAUAAAUGUAAAUAUUGAGGUGAUAAGUUGUUUUUAUAGAUGUUUUUCUACAGUGUUUUUAGAUGAUGUUUACACACUUUCCUGUGCUUCAUUGUCUUUUUAGCAGCAGUGUUAAGUGAAUCCCGUCAAUAAUUAAGAUACUUGCAUAGAAAGCUAUAUCCUGUUUGUGAUAUCUGAAAAUAAGCUUUUUAAAAUGUGACAAGUGUAACGUGUCUGGAUUUACAUCACUGCCUUUUGUAUAAAGUUGGAUUUCUUUUCACUUGAAGUACUUUAAAUAAAUUUUUAGCAGUCAGUCCAAUAAAGUGUCUUGAAAA